GUAGGGAAUAUUGGGCAAUGGGGGCAACCCUGACCCAGCAACGCCGCGUGAGGGAAGAAGGUCUUCGGAUUGUAAACCUCUGUCCUUGGGGACGAAGGAAGUGACGGUACCCAAGGAGGAAGCUCCGGCUAACUACGUGCCAGCAGCCGCGGUAAUACGUAGGGAGCAAGCGUUGUCCGGAAUUACUGGGCGUAAAGGGUGCGUAGGCGGCAUAUUAAGUCAUAUGUGAAAACCCCAUGCUUAAGAUGGGAGGUGCAUGUGAAACUGGUAUGCUAGAGUACAGGAGAGGUAAGUGGAAUUCCUAGUGUAGCGGUGAAAUGCGUAGAUAUUAGGAGGAACACCAGUGGCGAAGGCGGCUUACUGGACUGAAACUGACGCUGAGGCACGAAAGCGUGGGGAGCAAACAGGA
Molecule: ribosomal RNA, 409 nt
Filed under: uncultured bacterium
Lineage: Bacteria
Description: bacterial SSU rRNA
Rfam family: Bacterial small subunit ribosomal RNA
Source: RNAcentral